AAUACUAUAAGGGCAAAAACGUUAAAAUCAAAUUACAUUUCUUUCCACAAAGAAGUCUACUUCAGAUUUCUUCAUCAUAUUCCCUUUAUACCACCGCCCACCACCACUCCUAGCCAGAUCAUCUUCUAUACACGCAUGACAGAGAAUACAUUUUAAAGAAUUAGAGCGUGCAUCGAUCUCAAACCAACACCAAUUUACAAGUUAGUCUACAAGCCCAAAUCCAUCGACGAGUUAAUCGGACCAUCGACAACGAGUACACUCAGAUUGACGAAAAGCAGCGCCAUCGACUCCAAGUUGAAGAGGAAAGAGAAGAAAAAUUGCUAGUAAACCAAAUUAAUAGACUACAAAGCUACCCUUGAAACGAGAUUUCACCACCAUAUUCUUUUUUUUUCGAUUACAGAUGGGGUUUGUGGCUAGCUCUUUGAUCGGCGGUUAGUAGCGGUAAUAGAGUGAAAGAUGACUGUAGAUGAUGGUGGUGAGGUCAGGGUUCAAGAGGCUCCACCCACCGAUCCACCUUAUAACUCGCCCCUGCACUGUAUCUCUCUUUAUUGUUGCAAUGGUUGGAGUUAGGUAUUCCAAACACUCCUGUUUUGAUGAUUCCAAGUUUAAAAGUUUUAGAUGAUGAAUUGUCUGCUUUGCAAGGAUACAAAUUUGAAUUUUAGGGUUUUUGAUUUGGGAAUUUUAAUUGAAAGAAGACUGAUCAUUCUUCACUCUAAUUUUUAUUUUGAUUUAGACUUAUUUUUUGUUUUGUUUUUAUGUUUAGUUAUUAAUAUAUAUUAUUAAUAAGAAAUGUUUUAGAGUUAAGUUAACUAAUUAGACUUGAUUUAAAUUUGAUUUUAUGCUGAUUAGUUAAUUAAUUUGAUUUUGUCUUGACUUAAUGUAUGGGAAAUUGUUUUGGUUUUAUUAAUUUUAGUUAUGUUGUAUUACACUUUUGCCCUU
Molecule: long non-coding RNA, 939 nt
Filed under: Panax ginseng (ginseng)
Lineage: Eukaryota; Viridiplantae; Streptophyta; Magnoliopsida; Apiales; Araliaceae
Description: long non-coding RNA (PGIN_LNC002572)
Source: RNAcentral